Molecule: RNA transcript, 925 nt
Organism: Myotis lucifugus (little brown bat)
Lineage: Eukaryota; Metazoa; Chordata; Mammalia; Chiroptera; Vespertilionidae
Gene name: mediator of RNA polymerase II transcription subunit 6 pseudogene
Exons: 1
Source: RefSeq, a predicted model, not a curated record
CUUCUCUGCACCGGAAGGAGAACCCGAGAACACUUUUGGAAUUAUGGCGGCGGUGGAUAUCCAAGAUAAUCUACUGGGAAUCUCUUUGGUUGACAGUACAUGGAUCCCCAUUUUGAACAGUGGAAGUGUCCUAGAUUACUUUUCAGAAAGAAGUAAUCCUUUUUACAACAGAACGUGUAAUAAUGAAGUGGUCAAAAUGCAGAGACUAACAUUAGAACACUUAAAUCAGAUGGUUGGAGUGGAAUACAUCCUUUUACAUGCUCAAGAGCCCAUUCUUUUUAUCAUCCGGAAGCAACAGCGGCAGUCCCCUACCCAAGUUAUCCCACUGGCUGAUUACUAUAUCAUUGCUGGAGUGAUCUACCAGGCACCAGACUUGGGAUCAGUUAUAAACUCUAGAGUGCUUACUGCGGUGCAUGGCAUUCAGUCAGCUUUUGAUGAAGCUAUGUCAUACUGUCGAUAUCAUCCUUCCAAAGGGUAUUGGUGGCACUUCAAAGAUCAUGAAGAGCAAGAAAAAGUUAAACCUAAAACCAAAAGGAAAGAAGAACCAAGCUCUAUUUUCCAGAGGCAACGUGUGGAUGCUUUACUCUUAGACCUCAGACAAAAAUUUCCACCCAAAUUUGUGCAGCAAAAGUCUGGAGAAAAGUCUGUCCCAGUGGAUCAGACAAAGAAAGAGGCAGAACCUACACCAGAAACUGUGAAGUCUGAUGAGAAGGAGACCACAAAGAACAUCCAACAGACAGUGAGCACUAAAGGUCCCCCUGAAAAACGAAUGAGACUUCAGUGAGUAUUGGACAAGAGAAGCUUGUAAGACUUCUUGUCCAUUAUUAUACCUCAUACUGUGACAAGUUCUUGAACUUUGAAAUUCUUUGUCACAGCUCUCAUUUGUAUAGAAUGUGCUUGCUCUUUAUGCUCUUUAAGAAAGGAU